This is a long non-coding RNA of Ornithodoros turicata, 4313 nucleotides long. RefSeq lists it as uncharacterized. NCBI's taxonomy places the organism in Eukaryota, Metazoa, Arthropoda, Arachnida, Ixodida, Argasidae. The transcript has 3 exons. The record is from RefSeq and is a predicted model, not a curated record.
AAGCCUUGCUGUAUCUUUAAUGUGCUUCUUCUUCAUCUUUUGAGCCUGCAUUAUAUAACUGCGUGAGGCUUGCAACUAUCACAUGGUAAAGGGAACAUUGCAAGGGGGUAAAUACCUUACGUCAGCGUUCAAAAUCCCAAAGUGGCACACUUUAAUAUGCUGGCACCACACAUCGCCCGAACACGCGCGGGGACCUGUACUCAAUAAAGUUCAAGUGACCAUAAACUAAGCAACGUCGCUCGUUUUGUGUUGCCCCAGCGCGUCUGCUCUGCCAUAGCUUAACCGUCGCUAAACCGAAACCAUACGCUGGCAAGUUGCUCAGUGAUAUCCUACUCUGAAACACUAAUAUUCCGAGAACUCGCAGUUGUUUGGAAUCUGUAAUUUCGUAUUGUGCAUUUUGAGAGCGAUCUUGAACGCUGAGCUAUAUCGCGGCCUACCUCUCCCCCCGCCCACCACAAUGAAUCGCAUGCGAAUACGUCUCAUCAUGGAAUGCCUUUCAGGCGGACUAUGCAUGAAAUGAACAAGCUUAGCUCCACUACAAAGAUGGCAAACAGAAAACCUUAUUGGGAUCUUGUACGGGAAUCCCGACAGUGUCCGCGUCUUCCACUUCUGAUGCUCGUACUUUGGGUAUCCUGAGACGCUUCCUUCCCAGUUUCUCUUUCAAUUCUUCCUCAGUUUCUAAUAUAAAAUAUUGGUUAACGACAGCAAAAACACAACUAACGCUCUCACCUGCUACCAUCAGAACGAGAAUAGAGUACAUUCCGCUCAGCGUUUCGUCGUCGGGGUCUUCCCAGUAUGCACAGUACACUUUGUUUGGGUCGAACUUAUUUGCGUCGUCGGGGAAAUCCACAAUGUUCUUAACAGGAAUCGUGUAAUUCCUGUCGUCGAACUGCUUGACAAAGCGUACCAGCGCAAACAUCGCUGAGCAAGUUAACGAACAGUUUUUUCGUGAUGCUACUCUUCCUGACAUACACAAAACCGCAACCACCGCAUCCGCGGGUUUUGAAAGUGUCGUGACAUGGCCGUGCGUAGUACGGUAUGUCGAGCGGUCCGGCGUGAAUUUCCGACAUGAAACUUUGCGACAGGCUACAAACAUGUGAAAAGAUUUGUAGCAAAAAACAAAAAUAUUAGCGAAAAUACAGAUGUUUUUAUGUGCGAAGAGAAGAGAUAAAGGGAAUUCACGAAAAAGGCUCAUCGGCAUCAUCGGAAUUGCUAACACAAAUAGCGUCUGCUGCCAUAUCUGCUGCGCAGUCUGCAGUUUACCUGAGUUGCCUUUUUUAUCUUCGAUAUUUCGUGUCUUGCUCAUUUAGUUACGACUUUAUUGUGCCCAUUUGGAAAGUUAGUUGGUUCAUUCAAUCCAUAUCUCACCCUCUUUCAACUUUUCGUCAUAUAUCUACAUGAUACUUCGCUGCAAGCUCAUCAAUGUCAACUCGCCAGAACAAGCCUCGCAAGAGGUACCUGGAACCAAGUUCUGCAGAUGCGGAAAUGCCAAGGUCUACAAGGUACAACCUUAAUAGUUCGGAAGCGGUUGCUUCGGGCUCUACAUUUGCUCCUCAUGACUCAGAGGCAACUGUGACCGAGGAAGACGAUGAUCAAAGCAACGCAAACAGCUCAACCGCACCUGAUGAGCCACAAAGUAGUCGUCCCUUUGUGCCACUUUUUAACAUAUCACUGUACGAAAGGAGCCCUUUCUCCGUAGGGGAUGCCCUUGUUUUGAUAAUGGACUUUGUCAUGAAACACAAGCUAACAUGGUCAGCAUCUCAAGAUCUUCUGAAGUUAGUGAACAAACUAAUUGGGAAGGAUUCCCUCCCCGACUCCGUAUAUCUGUUCAAGAAGUUUUGUGACGCGUCACCGACUGAUAUGACUUUUCAUUUUUACUGUAAUGACUGCGAAACCAUACUGUGCACAACAAGUGGGAAUUUGAGAGAGAGAAAUAGUAUUGCACCAACGUGCUCAAACUGCAAGGAGCAACACCUUGGAAAGAACCUCACGGCAAAAGGACAUUUCUUCGUAAGUCUCCCUCUAAAAACUCAACUGGAAUCACUUCUUGCCGAUGGGGACAUGUCACAGCAGCUCAAGCAGUCAUUAGACAAGCAAGAAGUGACAAACGUCAGCAAUAAACCGAUGUCUGACAUCACAGAUCGUUCUACAAAAGGCAGCGAGAAAAACUGAAGUGCAGCAAGUAUGACAUCACUGUUACACUUAACACAGACGGCAGUACAACGUUCAAAAGUAGCAACUACUCUAUAUGGCCUGUGCAAGUACUGAUAAAUGAACUUCCUCCAUAUUACCGAUGGACAAGCCCUUCUGUGCCACUUCUCUGGUAUGGCAAUAAACACCCAAACAUGUUUCUCAUACUUGGAGCAUUUGCAAAGGAUAUGGAAGUGUUUGGCAGAACAUGGGAUUCAAUGGAGCAGUGAAGGACAGCGGAUCAUAUCGAAGGUAUAUUGUAUAACAUGUGUUGCUGAUGCACCUGCAAGAGCAGGGAUGAUGAACAUGGUACAGUAGAAUGGGUACUUCUCAUGCCCAUGGUGUCUCCACGCUGGUUCCUGCAUUGAGGGGUACGUGAAGUUUCCAGUGACAGAUGGGCCAGCUGCAGAGAGGACAGAGCUUUCCAUGAUUCAAGACAUGAGGACAGCUGCUUCGACCGCCCAGAUCGUGCAUGGCGUAAAGGGACCAUCACCAAUGCUUACAGUGCCUGGCAUAAACAUUAUUGAAAGUUUCGUGCCAGAUUAUAUGCAUGCUUGUUUGCUUGGUACGGUGAGGCAAAUCACAGACCUCUGGUUCAGUGCUGUAGGUGCAGAAUAUUACAUUGGUACACCGCAGAAGCGAGAAAAGGUUGAUGCAAUACUCCAACGUCUCAGGCCACCAUCCUGCUUCACAAGAUGCCCAAGAAGUGUGAAGCAGAGGGCACUUUGGAAGGCUGGAGAGUGGCAGUCAUGGUUGCUCUACUUUUCUCUUCCUUGCAUUCAUGGCGUCUUACCGAGUGGCUAUUGUGAGCAUUUUGCUCUAUUAGUGCGCGGAAUCUACCUGCUGAUCAAAAGUGAAGUAACUGGACGAUGAAGACGAUGUCAGGGAAAGUGGUGAAAAGCUCACCAAAUUUGUUGUCAUGAUGCAGUACCUUUAUCAUGAAAGGGAGAUGAAAUCAAAUGUACACACUUUACUUCACUUCACAAAAUAUAGUGUCAUGCUGCACGGCCCUCUAUAUGCAAUCUCAUGUUUUGCUUUUGAAACCAACAUGGGACAUUUCUUAGAGCUUGUGUCAUCAUCAAAUGGAGUACCGCUGCAGAUUUUUUCACGCAUUUUAAUGCGCAAUAACUUCUAUCAGUUAAGAAGUUUGGCAUCAGAAAGUGCACGCAGCUUGUGCUGCCAUAAGAAGCCAGCCUCUGACGUGAUUCAACCAUUAGGCAAGCCAAAACCAAUUUCUCAAGAAAUAAUUGACUUGUUGUGUACUUACUUCUGACAUGUGCAAGACAUGAAGGAAUAUGAUCGUGUCUCAAUUGGAGGCUGCAUUAUCCACAACACACGGUAUUCUCGAGCAUCUAAACGGGAUUCAACAUCAUUCCAUUCUAGAGAUUGCUACCUAAGGGCUGAAAACAUUAUUAUACGUUCAUAUCAGGAGGAAAUGAGUGUCUAUGUAGUAUCGUAUAAGUACACAGCUGCAUUUUGCAGCAUGGACCAUGUGAGGAAGGCACGGUAACGAGAAUCAAAGUGGGUGCAUCAACUCAGCAAAGAUAUCAGACCCUGUGUGUACAUAUCCAUUGAGGAAGCAAUAUUUUUUGUUCGACUAUGCAACAGGUAUGAAUGGACAUAAAAUACGCUCGGAGGCAGAAUGAGGAACAAUAGAACUGAGCCAUUGUAAUUAUUCUCAGAACCUCUAGUUGCAUUGUAAUAAUCUUGUAAAUACAAUUGCAGUGUAAUGCAAAUUUUCAUGUAUGGUAUACCAAACACAAAUUUGUUGGGAGAUUCAUUUAUUCAUUCUUGCACACACCGUUUCCUCUUCGUAAGUCCAAUUAUGAACGCCACACACUGACGCAUUUGUCGACUUCUCUUGGAGCCUCUGUUUCCAUACACGUUUUAGCAGAUUCGAGAACACGGAGGAGUUGAUGUUCAUUUAGUAAUGCAGUUAUGUUUACUUGUUUUAAAUUUGUCGAAUUUCGGAAUUUAGCUUUUCUAAACGUUGGGGUGGGGUUCUCAAGCAAAUGUGUCGGUUUGUGCAAUACUCUUUUGUAUAUUGUCAUACGUACCCUAGUUUCUGUGUUCUCUAUUAUUAUAUGAUGAAUAAAUCAUAUUUUUUAAAGACAACAACUGAA